RNAcentral lists this ribosomal RNA (357 nucleotides) under uncultured bacterium. RNAcentral describes it as "partial 16S ribosomal RNA". It matches the Rfam family "Bacterial small subunit ribosomal RNA", at positions 338 to 693 of the family's 1533-position model. The record is from RNAcentral.
CCUACGGGUGGCAGCAGUGAGGAAUAUUGGUCAAUGGGCGGAAGCCUGAACCAGCCAAGUAGCGUGCGGGAUGAAGGCCCUACGGGUCGUAAACCGCUUUUGCACGGGGAUAACACCCUCCACUUGUGGAGGUCUGCAGGUACCGUGCGAAUAAGGGCCGGCUCAUUCCGUGCCAGCAGCCGCGGUAAUACGGAGGGCCCGAGCGUUAUCCGGAUUCAUUGGGCUUACAGGGAGCGUAGGGGGGCGUUCCAGUCAGCUGUAAAAGCGCGCGGCGCACCCGCGCCCCGCAGUUGAACCUGGACGCGUUGAGUGGACAGCAGGCAGGGGGAAGUGGUGGGGUAGCGGGGAAAUGCAUGG